Gymnothorax javanicus (giant moray) is the source of this 73-nucleotide non-coding RNA. The record is from the annotation of a GenBank genome assembly. Lineage: Eukaryota; Metazoa; Chordata; Actinopteri; Anguilliformes; Muraenidae.
GCCGAAAUAGCUCAGUUGGGAGAGCGUCAGACUGAAUAUUUAAAGGUUCCUGGUUCAAUCUUGGUUUUUGGCA